GGAAUAUUGCACAAUGGGGGAAACCCUGAUGCAGCAACGCCGUGUGAGUGAAGAAGUCAUUCGUGAUGUAAAGCUCUAUCAGCAGGGAAGAAAAUGACGGUACCUGACUAAGAAGCCCCGGCUAACUACGUGCCAGCAGCCGCGGUAAUACGUAGGGGGCAAGCGUUAUCCGGAUUUACUGGGUGUAAAGGGAGCGUAGACGGCGACGCAAGUCUGAAGUGGAAUGCCAGUGCUAAACACUGGAACUGCUUUGGAAACUGUGUAGCUAGAGUGCAGGAGAGGUAAGUGGAAUUCCUAGUGUAGCGGUGAAAUGCGUAGAUAUUAGGAGGAACACCAGUGGCGAAGGCGGCUUACUGGACUGUAACUGACGUUGAGGCUCGAAGGCGUGGGGAGCAAACA
Molecule: ribosomal RNA, 399 nt
Filed under: uncultured bacterium
Lineage: Bacteria
Description: bacterial SSU rRNA
Rfam family: Bacterial small subunit ribosomal RNA
Source: RNAcentral